UCAGCUGGAUAUUUUCUGGGUUUCAAGUCAUCGUCUUCAUCGUGAAGAUUGUAACAGAAACAGAGAGCAAGAGCUCAAGAUGAGAUGAGAGAGCGAGAGAUGAGAGUGAGCUAGAGAGAGAUGAGAUUCUCGGUUUAUCUAAGCUCAGAGCUUGAUCUUCUUCCUCUAUUAUACUUGUUGUAACUCGGAUUGGAUGUAAUCGAGAGAGGGGAAGAAGAGGAGAGAAACCUCCGGUGAUGUACACUGUAGUGGAUUGGCUGAGAGACCGUUUCUCUCCCCGGUGAUGUAUAGCGGCUUCUCCACAUCGGAGAAGUGCGGUGAACACCGGGUAAACAAAGUCUCGUGUGUUCUUUAUUUCUUUCUUGCUUGAUUCUGUGAUUGAUUUGAUCCAGUUAGGCUUAAGGUGAUUAUUGAAUUGAGCCAAGAUCAUAGGAUGAAUCUUCAACAAGUGGUAUCAGAGCCUCGGUUUAGGCGAUUCAAGGAUUCAUCGGAAAUGGAUCAAGAUCGGUUCUGAAGGAGAAUCGAAGAAGGAUCGGAGGAGUUGAAGUUUCGAUCGCAUCGUUGUUGCGAGAGUGAAGAAUCAGUAGAUGUUGCAAGAUUUGCAAUGUCAAGAGCAAAAGAAAAAAAGUGAAGACGUUGGCUCGUGGUAGACGAGAACGUCGGAGACGGAGGAAAGGAAUCUCGCGGAGGAAGACGUCAUCAGAGCGGAUGGUUUCUGAUUUUUUGAAAUCAUAUGGUUCAGUAAGUUAAGCUCUCUCAUCUCUAGAGUUAUAAACCUGGUGUGAGUUUUGGAAUUAGAGACUUGCAAGAGACGUUGCUGUGUUCACAACCGUAAGAAGAACCAUAGACUGAAGUGUAAAGAAUCAGAUAUGUGAUGUUGUUCUGCAGUUCUGGAAUUGGUUUGAUGCUGGCUGUUUGAGGUGGAGGAUCUCAGGUUAAAAUGUUAAGUCAAGAUCAGACUUAAGGCUACAGAAUCAAAGUCAGUUCAUAGUUUCCUCAAGUUCAAGUCUUGGAGACAAAUGGUCUCAGUCUGCAACAGUCACAAAGUUUUGUUGUGCUGGCUGGAUACUCAUCUACUGCAGUGUAUAAAGAAUGGAAGCUCUCUAAAUCACAAGGGCGUUAUGUUAUCUUUGCAAAGAGUAAUCAAGGCUCAGGUUUGGUGUCAAACUGUUUGUUGGUCAGCUUGUUUGUGGAAGGAAGAUGCAGCUGUGGUUUCAGGAUGUUUGGAAGAAUGGCAGUUGGUGGCAUUCUGCAACAGUCACAAAGUUUUGUUGUGCUGGCUGGAUACGCAUCUACUGCAGUGUAUAAAGAAUGGAAGCUCUCUAAAUCACAAGGGCGUUAUGUUAUCUUUGCAAAGAGUGAUCAAGGCUCAGGUUUGGUGUCAAACUGUUUGUUGGUCAGCUUGUUUGUGGAAGGAAGAUGCAGCUGUGGUUUCAGGAUGUUUGGAAGAAUGGCAGUUGGUGGCAUUUAUGAAUCUCAGGUUUAAGGGACGCUUUAGAAGUGAGUUUGUAUGUGUGUCAAAGGCUGUUCAGAUACUGUUAAAGCUUUCAAGAUUCAAGUUUGAAGUUAAGUUGCAGAGAAGAAUGGUUUCUACAGGUUUUGGAACAAGACAAAUAUGGUAUUUUGAGGAGCUGGUUCAGAUUUCAGAAAGUUUGAGUUGCAGGUUCAGUCACAGAGAUUAAGGGUCAGGUUCUGGUGAAUGUAAGAAGCUCAGGUGGUGAUGAUCAAGGUCAGCAAAAGGAUCAUAAUGGAGCUUGUAGCAGCAGGGAUUAUUUCUACAAAAAAUGAAUCAAGGUUGUUAUGUUUGAUGUUAUUCUUCAGUGGUAGUGGUAGUAAAGUGAUAAAACAGAUGGGAUUCUGUGGUAUGUCACAUGACGUUUUUCACAUAAACAAACGUCACGGCUUAUUAGAAGAAUGGGUGGAGUCAUCAAGAAAGAAGCAGACGCAGGAACAUGUUAUGUUUCCAGAAGUAUGCGUCAAGAGAAAAGACAAGAGUUCUAGGAGCAAUGUGAGUAUAUGCUGGAAUAGAGUUUCUUGUGGGAUCAAAGUUGAUAACUUUGGAGGAGUAUGAGUGGAAGAGGCAGCUCGUGGUAGAGGUUUAACUGUCUCACUCAAGGCGUUUCUGCAGAGGGUUAAAGUGAUGAUUUCUUAAAGAGAAAGAAGGCUGAUAGAAUAUCAGUGAUAAGGAGCCAAGGAGAAGAAACAAGUUUCUGGUUUUAUGGCUCAAGGAAAGGAAAGCAAGGAGUUUGUUUUGCUGGUUGUAGUUCUUUUGAACAUGGAGUUUACAAGUUCAAGUCUGUGCAUGAUGUCUCAGGUCAUUGGUGCUUGUGUUCUGUAUUUUAAAGACACACGAGAAGUUUCAGGAGAUGGAGAAAUCUGAGAGAAACUUCAAAGAAUGAUUGUGAGGACAUGUUUGGAUGAAGGGACAGCAGGAUGAAAGCACAGCAGGCGGCAGUCACUCAAGGAUGUAGCUUUCAGAGGCUAUGAAAAGAAGCUGUAUGCCAAGAUAUAAAGGCAAGAAGCAUGGCGUUACUGAUAGUAAAAUCAGUGGAGUAAAAUUAGUUUGAGAGAAUCUGGUUUCGGGUUUAUCUGUCACAGGUUCUGAUGGGUUAAAUUCAGAAGGGUCUCACAGGGUUUAAAGUGUUAUGUGAAGAUGUUUUGUUGGCAGAGAUUAUAACAGGUUGGAGCACAGUCAGUUUUUGAGGUACAAGAUCAGAAUUGGAAGCUUGCGACACUUGGUGGUUCUGGUAUUAAAUGACAAAGGUUGAAUGGCCGCAAAAAUUAAUAUAAUUUUGAUAAGUCUGAAAUAAAAUUCAGAAGCAAAAAGCCAUAUUUUCAGUCAGCUACACAAAGGGGUUAAGUAAAUCAAAGAAGAAAGUGCAGGAUGGUUAUAAGUCUGAGAAGUGAAGCUUCAUGUGAAGAGGAACACGUUGGGGUUUUGAAAGGUUAUUGUUUCAGGUGGAGUCUUGCCUCUACAAGUGUUGUAGUGCACAUCGCUAGAUGUUUUUUGACUUCAGGUGGAGCAGUGUUAUCCUUCCAGUCGUAUAUCUCAUGUCUACUUUAGUGUGAAAAGAUUUCAGAAGUCCUGCGGAUGAGCUUUCAAGAGCAACAGAGAUUCAGUUUGGUUUUGUGCAGCAAGAAGAGUAAAAGAGAGCCAAGCCAGUGUCAGCAGGUUCAAGCUCAACAUGUUAUGGUCAGAUGGAGUAAAAGGGGUUCAGCUUGUGGUCAGAGAUGUGAAGAGGAUGUCGGCAGUGUUAGUAUGGGUUCUCCACAGGAAGCGUGGAGUAAAACGACGUCGAGGCAGAGUCACUACAGGUAUGAUAAAUCAAUAUAUAAAAUACUUGUAACGUGUGCUUUUGCAGGUAUUCACAUGGACCAGGAAGAACAGUUCAAGGUGGAGCUGUUUGAGUCAAUAACCAAGCUGAACAAGUUCAGAGAGUUCUCUAAGAGUAGCUACAAGGAGAUAAAUAGCAAGUGUUGCUGGUACUGUCACAAGAGAGUACAAGAAGGAUUGAGCUACUGGAAAAUGGAGUUCUUGGUAACGUCUGGAACAGGCAGGGGCGUUUGUAUACCAAGGUCUGGUAAGGUUCGCAGGUUAGCGAAGCACAGGUUCUUUGCUACAGCAAAAGUGUCUCAAGAGUUGUCACAGGUUUUGUGAGUAUGAGGCAGGAAUAAAGAAGUCAGCAGUGGUCAGAUUGUUGUCUGAAGUUCUGUUGAGGCAGAUUUGUUUGAGCAGGGUUUGAGCAGAGAUCUCUACAUCGAAAGUCUUCUUAACCGGGUUGAGUUAGGCGGCGUGUUCUGCUGGUCACAGCAGCGGUGAAGAGUGAUGUUCAGGUUGAAAGUUCAUACAGAUUGGUGUAGAGGAAAACUUCAGGAUUAGCAGUGAGUUUUCUACUAGCUGUUGAGGUUGUCUACAAGGGUUUUUUGAGUCAAAGCGCUUCUGGUGUGAGGCAGAAAUGAUUCAAGUUCCGCAGGAGUUUUCAAGCAAGCAUCGUUUCAGGUUUUGGCAGACUAUUGGGAGACCUUAAUUGCAGUAACAAGUCAAGCAUUAUAGGCUGAUCUAUACUAGUCAAAGGAGAAGCUUAUGGAGUGUAUGUUGAGUUAUUGGUGAGUGGUUUUCUCAAGUUUCCAGGUUAUAGAAAGUCCAAAGGAAGAUCAAUGGAGAAGUUUGGCGUGACACAAGUUAGUGGAGUGCUGGGAAAAGAAACUUAAGAAGGCAUGUGUGUGUUGUUGGCACAGGACUGGGAUUGUGAUUCACAUCACAACAAGUUACAUGUCUGUUCAUUGAUGAUGAUUAAGUGGUUGAAGACUGGGAGUUAUCAAGGCUGUCACUGGGUUUACAAAGUUCAAGGGAGCAGUGGCAAAGGUGUCUUCAGGUGUAUCAAGAUAGGUACUGAAUAGGAUGCGUGGAGGAAACAAGUUUGAGGAAACGUUGAAGUUGAGCGGUGAAGCUCAUAAUAAGAUGAAGCUGAAUGGGUUUUAUUCAGAGAAGUAUGAAGCUGAGGAGUAUAUUUUUCUCAGGAGACUGCAAGGAGAUGCAGGGAGAUACAAAAGACGAGCAAGUCUGCUCAAUCAUCGGAGGAAAGCUCAAGAGAAGAUAAGACAUCAAGAAGAUCGAUGCCAAGGUGGAGAUUGUAGAAUUGUGUCAUCAAUCUUCUAAGCUUCUAAGUCAAACAGAAGGUUUGAAUAUGCUGAGAGAAGGAAAGACUCUUGGUUCAGCAGAAGGUUUUACUAAAGUUAAUGAUAUGCACAUGAGGAGCACGUGAGUUGUUAUUAUCUCAGCUGGAUAUUUUCUGGGUUUCAAGUCAUCGUCUUCAUCGUGAAGAUUGUAACAGAAACAGAGAGCAAGAGCUCAAGAUGAGAUGAGAGAGCGAGAGAUGAGAGUGAGCUAGAGAGAGAUGAGAUUCUCGGUUUAUCUAAGCUCAGAGCUUGAUCUUCUUCCUCUAUUAUACUUGUUGUAACUCGGAUUGGAUGUAAUCGAGAGAGGGGAAGAAGAGGAGAGAAACCUCCGGUGA
Molecule: long non-coding RNA, 5015 nt
Filed under: Brassica rapa (field mustard)
Lineage: Eukaryota; Viridiplantae; Streptophyta; Magnoliopsida; Brassicales; Brassicaceae
Description: long non-coding RNA (BRAP_LNC001477)
Source: RNAcentral